This is a long non-coding RNA of Scylla paramamosain (green mud crab), 339 nucleotides long. RefSeq lists it as uncharacterized. NCBI's taxonomy places the organism in Eukaryota, Metazoa, Arthropoda, Malacostraca, Decapoda, Portunidae. The record is from RefSeq and is a predicted model, not a curated record. The transcript is spliced from 2 exons.
GGAACCUCAACGUGUGGCAGGAAGACUAAAAUCACGGCCAGCCUCUCUGAUGUGGCUGCAAUCUUCAUCCUUUUGAUGGGUGGUGCAGCAUUUAGCUGUCUGCUGCUGCUGCUGGAGUAUGCGGUACAACAUGCAAGACAGAAGUGGUGGAUGAUGAGUUCCUGGGGAUUGCUGACCUGAAAGGAAGAACAGACAAUAACAAGAGACAAGAGACAAGAGACCUACACUGUUAAAGCCUUAAGCAUUCUAAUCACAUUCCAUGUAACUCUCUUCACUCUUAGAUCCCUUAUGGGGUAUUCUUAUGUAUAGUUGCUCACAAAUAUGGAGUUUAAUUAUAAC